RNAcentral lists this ribosomal RNA (246 nucleotides) under uncultured Bacillota bacterium. Its description in RNAcentral is "uncultured Firmicutes bacterium partial 16S ribosomal RNA". It matches the Rfam family "Bacterial small subunit ribosomal RNA", at positions 796 to 1041 of the family's 1533-position model. Lineage: Bacteria; Bacillati; Bacillota. The record is from RNAcentral.
CACGCCGUAAACGAUGAGUACUAGGUGUAGGAGGUAUCGACCCCUUCUGUGCCGCAGCUAACGCAUUAAGUACUCCGCCUGGGGAGUACGGUCGCAAGACUGAAACUCAAAGGAAUUGACGGGGACCCGCACAAGCGGUGGAGCAUGUGGUUUAAUUCGACGCAACGCGAAGAACCUUACCAGAUCUUGACAUCCCUUGAAUUACUGUGUAAUGCAGGAAGCCCUACGGGGCAAGGAGACAGGUGG